GCCGCCUUAGCUCAGUGGCCAGAGCUGCCGCCUUGUAAGCGGCCGGUCGUCGGUUCGACUCCGACAGGUGGCU
Molecule: transfer RNA, 73 nt
Filed under: Pseudonocardiales bacterium
Lineage: Bacteria; Bacillati; Actinomycetota; Actinomycetes; Pseudonocardiales
Description: tRNA-Thr
Rfam family: tRNA
About the family: Transfer RNA (tRNA) molecules are approximately 80 nucleotides in length. Their secondary structure includes four short double-helical elements and three loops (D, anti-codon, and T loops). Further hydrogen bonds mediate the characteristic L-shaped molecular structure. tRNAs have two regions of fundamental functional importance: the anti-codon, which is responsible for specific mRNA codon recognition, and the 3' end, to which the tRNAs corresponding amino acid is attached (by aminoacyl-tRNA synthetases). tRNAs cope with the degeneracy of the genetic code in two manners: having more than one tRNA (with a specific anti-codon) for a particular amino acid; and 'wobble' base-pairing, i.e. permitting non-standard base-pairing at the 3rd anti-codon position.
Source: RNAcentral